Molecule: ribosomal RNA, 253 nt
Filed under: uncultured bacterium
Lineage: Bacteria
Description: partial 16S ribosomal RNA
Rfam family: Bacterial small subunit ribosomal RNA
Source: RNAcentral
UACGAAGGGCGCAAGCGUUGCUCGGAAUUAUUGGGCGUAAAGGGUAGGUAGGUGGUUACGUAUGUCUGGGGUGAAAUCCCUGAGCUUAACUCAGGAAGUGCCUUGGAAACGGCGUAACUAGAGUACUAGAGAGGUUCGUGGAAUUCCCGGUGUAGCGGUGAAAUGCGUAGAGACCGGGAGGAACAUCAGAGGCGAAGGCGGCGAACUGGAUAGUAACUGACACUGAACUACGAAAGCGUGGGUAGCAAACAGG